GAAAGCGUGGGGAGCAAACAGGAUUAGAUACCCUGGUAGUCCACGCCGUAAACGAUGAGUGCUAGGUGGUUGAGGCUUUGCGCCCUGUAUUGCUGAAGUUACGGCAUUAAUCGCUCCCCUGGGGGAUUACGGCCCCAAGGUAAAACUUAAAAGGAAUGGAGGGGGCCCCCCCCAAGCGGUGGACCAUGUGUUUAAAUUGGAAGCAAGGGGAAGACCUUUCCCACUUCUGACCAUCCUAGGAAAUCCCUGGAGAUGGGGGUUGUCUUUGGGGAGCAGACACCAGGUGGUGCAUGGUGGUGUUCAGUUCGUGUCGAAGAUGGGGGUUAAGUCCCGCACGAGCGCCAACCCCUGAUUUUAGCCCCAUGGUUAAGCCGGGCACUCUAAGGUGACUGCCGGUGACAAACCGGAGGAAGGUGGGGAUGACGUCAAAUCAUCAUGCCCC
RNAcentral lists this ribosomal RNA (442 nucleotides) under Bacillus altitudinis. Its description in RNAcentral is "bacterial SSU rRNA". It matches the Rfam family "Bacterial small subunit ribosomal RNA", at positions 755 to 1201 of the family's 1533-position model. Lineage: Bacteria; Bacillati; Bacillota; Bacilli; Caryophanales; Bacillaceae. The record is from RNAcentral.